AAUCCUCAACCGCGCCGAUUGAUUUCGGUGGGGCUUGGACUUUGGAGCGUGCUGGCGAAGGUCGGCUCCUCUUUAAAUGCAUCAGCGGAAGAAACCUUUGUCUUUCCUGCCUUCGGUGUGAUAAUCGUGUUGCGCCGUGGUGGAACUUCAACGAUCCGCUUACAAUGGUCUUCGGACGAACUCUUAUAUCAA
RNAcentral lists this unclassified non-coding RNA (192 nucleotides) under uncultured Tylospora. Its description in RNAcentral is "sequence contains ITS2". The record is from RNAcentral. Lineage: Eukaryota; Fungi; Basidiomycota; Agaricomycetes; Atheliales; Atheliaceae.